RNAcentral lists this ribosomal RNA (1234 nucleotides) under metagenome. RNAcentral describes it as "bacterial LSU rRNA". It matches the Rfam family "Bacterial large subunit ribosomal RNA", at positions 1564 to 2808 of the family's 2925-position model. The record is from RNAcentral.
UGAAUACGAGACGCUAAGGCGUCGAAGUAGUGUAUGUCAUACUUCCAAGAAAAGCUUGCACUGUCAUAGAUAAAAAACGCCUGUACCAUAACCGACACAGGUGGGUAGGUAGAGUAUACUAAGGGGCGCGAGAUAACUCUCUCUAAGGAACUCGGCAAAAUAACUCCGUAACUUCGGGAGAAGGAGUGCCUUAUUCGUAAGGUUGCAAUAACAAGAUCCAAGCAACUGUUUAUCAAAAACACAGGUCUCCGCUAAGUCGUAAGACGAUGUAUGGGGGCUGACGCCUGCCCAGUGCCAGAAGGUUAAAGAAGUUGGUUAGCAAUUGCGAAGCUGAUAACUGAAGCCCUGGUGAACGGCGGCCGUAACAAUAACGGUCCUAAGGUAGCGAGAUUCCUUGUCGGGUAAGUUCCGACCCGCACGAAAGGCGUAAUGAUUUGGAUACUGUCUCGGAGAGGGGCUCGGUGAAAUAGACUUGUCUGUGAAGAUGCGGACUACCUGCACCAGGACAGAAAGACCCUAUGAAGCUUUACUGUAACUUGAAAUUGAAAUUGGACUUUGUUCGCGCAGUAUAGGUGGGAGGCGUUGAUUAUAAUCUUGUGGGAUUAUUGGAGCCAUCAGUGAGAUACCACUCUUGUAAUGUUAGAUUUCUAACUUUGAAUCAUUAUCUGGUCAAAGAACAGUUUCAGGCGGGCAGUCUGACUGGGGCGGUCGCCUCCUAAACGGUAACGGAGGCGUACAAAGGUUUCCUCUGAACGGUUAGAAAUCGUAUCUAGAGUGUAAAGGCAUAAGGAAGCUUGACUGUGAGACCUACAAGUCGAGCAGGGACGAAAGUCGGUCUUAGUGAUCUGACGGUACUGAGUGGAAAGGCCGUCACUCAACGGAUAAAAGUUACUCUAGGAUAACAGGCUGAUCUCCCCCAAGAGUUCACAUCGACGGGGAGGUUUGGCACCUCGAUGUCGGCUCAUCGCAUCCUGGGGCGGUAGUACGUCCCAAGGGUUGGGCUGUUCGCCCAUGAAAGCGGUACGCGAGCUGGGUUCAGAACGUCGUGAGACAGUUCGGUCCAUAUCCGGUGUAGGCGUUAGAAUAUUGAGAGGAGCCUUCUUUAGUACGAGAGGACCGAGAAGGACGUACCUCUGGUGUACCAGUUAUCGUGCCAACGGUAAACGCUGGGUAGCUAUGUAUGGAGUGGAUAACCGCUGAAAGCAUCUGAGUGGGAAGCCCACCUCAAGAUAAG